RNAcentral lists this ribosomal RNA (253 nucleotides) under uncultured bacterium. Its description in RNAcentral is "partial 16S ribosomal RNA". It matches the Rfam family "Bacterial small subunit ribosomal RNA", at positions 524 to 776 of the family's 1533-position model. The record is from RNAcentral.
GACAGAGGCCUCAAGCGUUAGGCGGAAUCACUGGGCUUAAAGCGUGUGUAGGCGGAUCGUUAAGUACCUUGUGAAAUCCCACGGCUCACCCGUGGAACUGCUGGGUAUACUGGCGGUCUUGGGCCAACUAGGGGCAGCUGGAACAAGCGGUGGAGCGGUGAAAUGCGUAGAUAUCGCUUGGAACGCCGAAGGUGAAAACAGGCUGCUGGGGUUGCGCCGACGCUGAGACACGAAAGCCAGGGGAGCAAACGGG